AUACUACAAAUCGCCGCUGGUAAGGAUUCAGACAUCACAGAAACUCAAAUACAACCAAAGUUUUGCUGGUGCAAAUAUACGAGCUGGAGGAGCAUAAGAUUGAGACCUGGAGAGAACUUUACUUGCAAGAAACGUUUAAACCCUU
Molecule: long non-coding RNA, 145 nt
Organism: Sinocyclocheilus grahami
Lineage: Eukaryota; Metazoa; Chordata; Actinopteri; Cypriniformes; Cyprinidae
Exons: 3
Source: RefSeq, a predicted model, not a curated record